Molecule: ribosomal RNA, 328 nt
Filed under: bacterium
Lineage: Bacteria
Also listed under: 1 other name
Description: bacterial SSU rRNA
Rfam family: Bacterial small subunit ribosomal RNA
Source: RNAcentral
GGGGCAGCAGUAGGGAAUCUUCCGCAAUGGACGAAAGUCUGACGGAGCAACGCCGCGUGAGUGAUGAAGGUUUUCGGAUCGUAAAGCUCUGUUGUUAGGGAAGAACAAGUGCGAGAGUAACUGCUCGCACCUUGACGGUACCUAACCAGAAAGCCACGGCUAACUACGUGCCAGCAGCCGCGGUAAUACGUAGGUGGCAAGCGUUGUCCGGAAUUAUUGGGCGUAAAGGGCUCGCAGGCGGUUUCUUAAGUCUGAUGUGAAAGCCCCCGGCUCAACCGGGGAGGGUCAUUGGAAACUGGGAAACUGAGGCAGAAGAGAGACGAUCCCU